This 648-nucleotide long non-coding RNA is filed under the name Setaria italica (foxtail millet). Its description in RNAcentral is "long non-coding RNA (SITA_LNC004729)". Lineage: Eukaryota; Viridiplantae; Streptophyta; Magnoliopsida; Poales; Poaceae. The record is from RNAcentral.
UCCUACAUGAGAGAAUACAUCCAGAAUAUAUAACUACACCAUCCGUCGGAACCAAAUCCCGUAACUGCGCUGAGCAGGUUGCACAUGAACAAGAGACAGGAGUCUACACAGGCGGGGCCUAGCUAUAACCUAGGAGGAGGUGAACUUGGUGACGGCCUUGGUGCCCUCGGAGACGGCGUGCUUGGCGAGCUCCCCGGGGAGGACGAGGCGGACCGAGGUCUGGAUCUCGCGGGAGGUGAUGGUGGGCUUCUUGUUGUACCGCGCGAGCUUGGCCGCCUCCGCCGCCAGCUUCUCGAAGAUGUCGUUGAUGAACGAGUUCAUGAUGGACAUGGCCUUGGAGGAGAUGCCGAUGUCGGGGUGCACCUGCUUCAGCACCUUGAAGAUGUAGAUCUUGUAGGUCUCCACGCUCUUCUUCGCCUUCUUCUUGCCCUUCUUCUCGCCGUCCUUGCCGGCGGACUUGCCGGCCGGCAGCCGCUUCUCGGCCUUGGGCUUCUUCCCCGCCGGGGUCUUCUCCGCCUUCUCGGCCGCCGGCUCCUCCUCCGCGGGCUUCUUGGCGGCGGGCUUCUUCUCAGCCUUGGGCGCCAUGGGUUGCGGUGAGGGCGAGGCUGCUCGAAUUCGCGGUGGAUGGGGGAAUUUGGGGAGAAAUGC